UGGUGGGCCACAUCUGUGCAACGGUUGUGUGUUUCGUUGUGGAAUCGUUACCCGUUGCCCUCUUUCUUGUUCCUGAUGCUAUGGAGGGUGGCUGAGGCUGGUUGGGGGAGGGGGGCGUGUAUGUUUCGCCUCCGUCAUUGAUGUGCCUGCCCUAAUUGUCAUGUUCCCAUCCAUGUGCUGCACGUGCAGCAGGCCUCGGAAGAUGGGGCCGACGUCCAGCCGGGAAUGGAGGUAAGAUGGGGGGGAGGGUCGGGGCUCUUAUGUGUUUUACAUGGG
Molecule: long non-coding RNA, 276 nt
Filed under: Volvox carteri
Lineage: Eukaryota; Viridiplantae; Chlorophyta; Chlorophyceae; Chlamydomonadales; Volvocaceae
Description: long non-coding RNA (VCAR_LNC003822)
Source: RNAcentral